Non-coding RNA from Schizophyllum commune H4-8, 97 nucleotides. Lineage: Eukaryota; Fungi; Basidiomycota; Agaricomycetes; Agaricales; Schizophyllaceae. The record is from the annotation of a RefSeq genome assembly.
GGCUCUGUAGUGUAGUGGUUAUCACCCGGGAUUCUGAUGAAAGCCAUAGGCCUGUGUCGGUCUUCCCGUGACCCAGGUUCGAUCCCUGGCAGGGCCU